RNAcentral lists this ribosomal RNA (468 nucleotides) under uncultured bacterium. RNAcentral's name for it is "partial 16S ribosomal RNA". It matches the Rfam family "Bacterial small subunit ribosomal RNA", at positions 28 to 507 of the family's 1533-position model. The record is from RNAcentral.
GACGAACGCUGGCGGCGUGCUUAACACAUGCAAGUCGAACGGAAAGGCCCUGCUUUUGUGGGGUGCUCGAGUGGCGAACGGGUGAGUAACACGUGAGUAACCUGCCCUUGACUUUGGGAUAACUUCAGGAAACUGGGGCUAAUACCGGGUAGGAGCUCCUGCUGCAUGGUGGGGGUUGGAAAGUUUCGGCGGUUGGGGAUGGACUCGCGGCUUAUCCGCUUGUUUGUGGGGUAGUCGCUUACCAAGGCUGUGACGGGUAGCCGGCCUGAGAGGGUGACCGGCCACAUUGGGACUGAGAUACGGCGCAGACUCCUACGGGAGGCAGUAGUGGGGAAUAUUGCACAAUGGGCGGAAGCCUGAUGCAGCAACGCCGCGUGCGGGAUGACGGCCUUCGGGUUGUAAACCGCUUUCGCCUGUGACGAAGCGUGAGUGACGGUAAUGGGUAAAGAAGCACCGGCUAACUACGUG